Molecule: unclassified non-coding RNA, 364 nt
Filed under: uncultured bacterium
Lineage: Bacteria
Description: contains 16S-23S intergenic spacer region
Source: RNAcentral
UCCCGGUUGGCCCGGGCAGUCUCGUAUGAAAAAUACAACAUACGGCAAGGGUUGCGCUCGUUGCGGGACUUAACCCAACAUCUCACGACACGAGCUGACGACGGCCAUGCAGCACCUGUCACUAGGCUCCCGAAGGCACUCCUCUGUUUCCAAAAGAUUCCUAGGAUGUCAAGCCUGGGUAAGGUUCUCCGCGUAUCGUCAAAUUAAACCACAUCAUCCACCGCUUGUGCGGGUCCCCGUCAAUUCCUUUGAGUUUUAGCCUUGCGGCCGUACUUCCCAGGCGGCAUACUUAACGCGUUAGCUUCGCCGCACAGGGGGUCGAUACCCCAUACGGCUAGUAUGCAUCGUUUACGGCGUGGACUAC